GACAUCACAACAACAGCUGCUCUAGCUUUGCUUGCAGAUGUAUGCAGAGCCCCAGAACCUUCUCUACAGCUAAUGCCAAAAAGAUGCUGGAAAAUUCUCCUCUAUCACUGGAAGCCUGUCCCGCUGCUCUGGAAUGCCCUGUACAUGGAAAGCCCAAGACUGUGGGUUUAGAAGAGCCAAAAAGCGCAGCCUCACAGAUCUGCCCCAAGAUCCCACGCUACCUCUCUCCAACUCCUUACACUGGGGUGUAGCACAGCUGCGGAGGAGGUCUCUUUGUUGAGCUCCUGUAGCUCUGCAGGUUCUGUGCUGUAAAUAUACAGAACGCAGGGACUUGGAAAAGAAGUUGAGAGUGCCCAAGGCUUGGAGGAAAUCUUGGGCUCCACCUUACAGUGUGCUGCUGCAGUGCUCUGACAGCUCAAAGAAGCCUUUUGGUCCUAUGUCACACCCCUGGAAGCUUCCCUGUGCACAUUUGUGAGCCACAGAGGUCAGGUUGUAAUGGGCAAAAAGAAAGAGAGACAGAAAGAAAAGCAAGUUCAAAGAGAAGGUGGGAGAACUUAGAAGGUGGGAGGAGGAGGAAACCAAUGGGCCAAAAUGGGCAAUCCCAUCAUAAAAGGGAGUUAUGAGGCAGAGACCAUAUAGAUCAGGUGGUGGACAGGCCACAGGAAGGCAGGCUUAGGAAAACAAAAAGAACAUAAGUGUUCCAAGGUUUGGAAGCAUCACUCCACCCUCGUCCUCCUCUCACUUUUAAACGAGAGGAGG
Corapipo altera (White-ruffed manakin) is the source of this 759-nucleotide long non-coding RNA. RefSeq lists it as uncharacterized. The transcript has 3 exons. The record is from RefSeq and is a predicted model, not a curated record. Lineage: Eukaryota; Metazoa; Chordata; Aves; Passeriformes; Pipridae.